GUCACGAUAGUGCAGUGGUAGAGCAGCGGCGUUUCAAGCCGAAGAUCGUGGGUUCGAAUCCCGCUCGUGACA
RNAcentral lists this transfer RNA (72 nucleotides) under Cimex lectularius (bed bug). Its description in RNAcentral is "tRNA-Glu". It matches the Rfam family "tRNA". Rfam says of the family: Transfer RNA (tRNA) molecules are approximately 80 nucleotides in length. Lineage: Eukaryota; Metazoa; Arthropoda; Insecta; Hemiptera; Cimicidae. The record is from Rfam by way of RNAcentral.